GUUUGUACUAGGAUAUAUUAUAGAAAAAUAUCAUUGUAAGAUGCAAGCAGUCUCUCCCACUCUUUCUGUCCCAUGGCUAGUGGUAGAGAUUGUGGGGGCACAGAAAUGGAGGAAGCUUACUAGAAAGAAACUAUUUAGGGAUGGAGGUCGGUUCCAAGACGACACAUUCCAGACUCGAUUCUCUUAAAGAUGCUUAUUCUGGACCGAGAAGGGUCUUAACUUCAAAUGAGACCUUCCCCUUGUUCGUCUGUCUUGGCAGUGGGCCAAAGACCGGCUCAGAUCACAGACGGAAAGGCCAAAGCACAGUCCAGGCAUGACUCUUCACCUGUUCUGACGAUAUUUUCCAAGUAAAACCAGGCAUUGAGAGCAAGUCAGAGAUGCAUCAGGCGAUUAAUGAAGGCUCAAGACAGAAAAGAUAGAAUUAGAUGAAAAAAAC
This 436-nucleotide long non-coding RNA is filed under the name Equus caballus (horse). RNAcentral describes it as "lncRNA (ENSECAG00000045728.1)". Lineage: Eukaryota; Metazoa; Chordata; Mammalia; Perissodactyla; Equidae. The record is from RNAcentral.